GAUAAUGUAAUAUCAUGCUUACUGUCAUUAGCCCAAGACUGGUUGCCCACUGAAGCUAAGCAGGGUUGAGCUGGUCAGUCCCUGAAUAGCAGACCUUCUGGGAACACUAGGUCGCUGCUGUCA
This 123-nucleotide ribosomal RNA is filed under the name Sinocyclocheilus grahami. Lineage: Eukaryota; Metazoa; Chordata; Actinopteri; Cypriniformes; Cyprinidae. The record is from RNAcentral.